Molecule: ribosomal RNA, 428 nt
Filed under: uncultured prokaryote
Description: bacterial SSU rRNA
Rfam family: Bacterial small subunit ribosomal RNA
Source: RNAcentral
UGAGGAAUUUUGCGCAAUGGGCGCAAUCCUGACGCAGCAACGCCGCGUGGGUGAUGAAGGCCUUCGGGUCGUAAAGCCCUGUCAGGUGGGAAGAAUGUCCCGGGACUGAACAGGUUCCGGGAGUGACGGUACCACCAGAGGAAGCACCGGCUAACUCCGUGCCAGCAGCCGCGGUAAUACGGGGGGUGCAAGCGUUAUUCGGAAUUACUGGGCGUAAAGCGCGUGUAGGCGGUCCUGCAAGUCUGAGGGGAAAGCCCCGGGCUUAACCCGGGAAGUGCAUUGGAAACUGUGGGACUUGAGUACUGGAGAGGAUGGGGGAAUUCCCGGUGUAGAGGUGAAAUUCGUAGAGAUCGGGAGGAAUAUCAGUGGCGAAGGCGCCCAUCUGGACGGUAACUGACGCUGAGACGCGAAAGCGUGGGGAGCAAACA